RNAcentral lists this long non-coding RNA (871 nucleotides) under Homo sapiens (human). RNAcentral's name for it is "HSALNT0197764". The record is from RNAcentral. Lineage: Eukaryota; Metazoa; Chordata; Mammalia; Primates; Hominidae.
GGUGAUACGUAUCUACGGUAAACGCCCCGCAGACAGCUGCCUCCGUCCCAGUGCCGGGUCCUGCCUGGUUCUGAUCCUCUGGAUUUCCUGGGAUAAACAUCCUGAGGAAGAAAAGAAUGGCUCAACAAAGAAAGGAGAAAUGGGUGUUCGGCUCGCCCAGCCUCAGCCAAGGGGCAGAAAACCUCCAAGCUGGAUAGGCUGUCAUGCCCGAUGCCAAGAAACGGAUAUUUGAAGAAUAGAGUACUAAGCUCAGAGCCAGAACCCCCCAGAUCCCCCUACACACAUGUGCAUACACAGACACACACACACAGGCACAUGCACACACAGAUAUACAUACAAACACACACAUAGACACAUGAACACAUGAACAAAUGCAGAUAUGAACACACAGACAUGCACACAUUUGAACAUGCACAGACCACACACAUGAACAGACAUACAUACACAGAAACAUGCACACACAGACACACAGACACUCGUACACAGAUACACAGACAAAUGCACACAUGGACACACAAACACAGACACAUAGAUGCACACAGAUAUAGAGACACAUGCACACAUGAACAAACAGAGAUGAACACAGAGAUAUGCACACAUGUGAACACACACACAGACAUACAUAGACACAUACACAAAUACACACAGGCACAGACAGACACAUGCACACGCAUGAACACACACAGAGACAAUGCACACAGACACAGGCACAUGCACACACAGAUACAUGCACACACGGGCACACAGACAUGCACACAGAAACACGUGGACACAUGCACAUGCAUGCGUGCUGACAACACAGACAUGCACAUAUGCAGAUACACAGGCACACAGAGGCAAAUGCAUGCACACUCAUGCACACACACGGACA